GACGAACGCUGGCGGCGUGCCUAACACAUGCAAGUCGAACGGAAAGGCCCCUUCGGGGGUACUCGAGUGGCGACCAGGUGCGUAACACGUGAGUAACCUGCCCUUGACUUCGGGAUAACUUCAGGAAACUGGGGCUAAUACUGGAUAGGAAUCCUUGCUGCAAGGGGGGGGUUGGAAAGCUUCGGCGGUUUUUGCUGUACUCUCGGCUUAUCAGCUUGUUGCUGGGGUAGUGUCUUACCAAGCCUUUGACGUGAAGCCGGCCUGAGAGGGCGACCGGCGACAUUGAGACUGAGGUACGGCACAGACUCCUACGGGAGGCAGAAGUGCGAAAUAUUGCACGAGGGGCGGAAGCCUGAUGCAGAAACGCCGCGUGUGGGAUGACGGUCUUAGUGUUGAAGACCGCAUUCAGCAGUGGCGAUGCUUGUGGUGACGGUACCUGCAGAAGAAGCACCGGCUAACUACGUG
Molecule: ribosomal RNA, 465 nt
Filed under: uncultured bacterium
Lineage: Bacteria
Description: partial 16S ribosomal RNA
Rfam family: Bacterial small subunit ribosomal RNA
Source: RNAcentral